RNAcentral lists this ribosomal RNA (253 nucleotides) under uncultured bacterium. Its description in RNAcentral is "partial 16S ribosomal RNA". It matches the Rfam family "Bacterial small subunit ribosomal RNA", at positions 524 to 776 of the family's 1533-position model. The record is from RNAcentral.
UACGGAGGGUGCAAACGUUGCUCGGAAUCAUUGGGCGUAAAGCGCACGUAGGCGGCUUGUUAAGUCGGAUGCGAAAGCCCCAGGCUCAACCUGGGAAGUGCAUUCGAAACUGGCGAGCUUGAAUAUGGAAGAGGGUCGCGGAAUUCCCGGUGUAGAGGUGAAAUUCGUAGAUAUCGGGAGGAACACCAGUGGCGAAGGCGGCGCCUGGGCCAAUAUUGACGCUGAGGUGCGAAAGCGUGGGGGAGCAAACAGG